Molecule: RNA transcript, 676 nt
Organism: Sapajus apella (tufted capuchin)
Lineage: Eukaryota; Metazoa; Chordata; Mammalia; Primates; Cebidae
Gene name: NADH dehydrogenase [ubiquinone] iron-sulfur protein 7, mitochondrial-like
Exons: 1
Source: RefSeq, a predicted model, not a curated record
AUCCUUGGUCUGCGCUCCAGCGUGGGUGCAGCUGUGCAGGCACGAGGUGUCCAUCAGACCGUGGCUACCAAUGGGCCGAGCAGCACCCAGCCUGCCCUGCCGAAGGCCAGAGCCGUGGCUCCCAAACCCAGCAGCCGGGGGGAGUAUGUGGUGGCCAAGCUGGAUGACCUCAUCAACUGGGCCCGCAGGAGCUCCCUGUGGCCCAUGACCUUCGGCCUGGCCUGCUGCGCCGUGGAGAUGAUGCACAUGGCCGCACCACGCUAUGACAUGGACCACUUCCGCGUGGUCUUACGCACCAGCCCACGCCAGUCCGACGUGAUGAUCGUGGCCGGCACACUCACCAACAAGAUGGCCCCCGCGCUCCGCAAGGUCUGCGACCAGAUGCCCGAGCCACGUUACGUGGUGUCGGUGGGGAGCUGUGCCAACGGCGGCGGCUACUACCACUACUCCUACUCGGUUGUGAGGGGCUGCGACCGCAUCGUGCCCGUGGACAUCUAUGUCCCAGGCUGCCUGCCCACGGCCGAGGCCCUGCUCUAGGGCAUCCUGCAGCUGCAGAGGAAGAUCAAGCGGGAGCGGAGGCUGCAGAUCUGGUAUCGCAGGUAGCGCCACCGCCAGAGCCUGGCCCGGAGCCGUCCUGUCCCCCUUCUGUCCCGUGAGUUUGUCAAUAAACCCCCCC